This is a non-coding RNA of Bos taurus (domestic cattle), 72 nucleotides long. The record is from Rfam. Lineage: Eukaryota; Metazoa; Chordata; Mammalia; Artiodactyla; Bovidae.
UCCCUGGUGUCUCAGCUGAUAAAGAACCCGUCUGCAAUGCGGGAGACCUGGGUUCAAUCCCUGGGUUGGGAA